CAUAAAAGGUGGCUUCGGCUACCACUUACAGAUGGACCCGCGGCGCAUUAGCUAGUUGGUGAGGUAACGGCUCACCAAGGCAACGAUGCGUAGCCGACCUGAGAGGGUGAUCGGCCACACUGGGACUGAGACACGGCCCAGACUCCUACGGGAGGCAGCAGUAGGGAAUCUUCCGCAAUGGACGAAAGUCUGACGGAGCAACGCCGCGUGAGUGAUGAAGGUUUUCGGAUCGUAAAGCUCUGUUGUUAGGGAAGAACAAGUACCGUUCGAAUAGGGCGGUACCUUGACGGUACCUAACCAGAAAGCCACGGCUAACUACGUGCCAGCAGCCGCGGUAAUACGUAGGUGGCAAGCGUGUCCGGAAUUAUUGGGCGUAAAGGGCUCGCAGGCGGUUUCUUAAGUCUGAUGUGAAAGCCCCCGGCUCAACCGGGGAGGGUCAUUGGAAACUGGGGAACUUGAGUGCAGAAGAGGAGAGUGGAAUUCCACGUGUAGCGGUGAAAUGCGUAGAGAUGUGGAGGAACACCAGUGGCGAAGGCGACUCUCUGGUCUGUAACUGACGCUGAGGAGCGAAAGCGUGGGGAGCGAACAGGAUUAGAUACCCUGGUAGUCCACGCCGUAAACGAUGAGUGCUAAGUGUUAGGGGGUUUCCGCCCCUUAGUGCUGCAGCUAACGCAUUAAGCACUCCGCCUGGGGAGUACGGUCGCAAGACUGAAACUCAAAGGAAUUGACGGGGGCCCGCACAAGCGGUGGAGCAUGUGGUUUAAUUCGAAGCAACGCGAAGAACCUUACCAGGUCUUGACAUCCUCUGACAAUCCUAGAGAUAGGACGUCCCCUUCGGGGGCAGAGUGACAGGUGGUGCAUGGUUGUCGUCAGCUCGUGUCGUGAGAUGUUGGGUUAAGUCCCGCAACGAGCGCAACCCUUGAUCUUAGUUGCCAGCAUUCAGUUGGGCACUCUAAGGUGACUGCCGGUGACAAACCGGAGGAAGGUGGGGAUGACGUCAAAUCAUCAUGCCCCUUAUGACCUGGGCUACACACGUGCUACAAUGGACAGAACAAAGGGCAGCGAAACCGCGAGGUUAAGCCAAUCCCACAAAUCUGUUCUCAGUUCGGAUCGCAG
This 1116-nucleotide ribosomal RNA is filed under the name Bacillus sp. K91. Its description in RNAcentral is "bacterial SSU rRNA". It matches the Rfam family "Bacterial small subunit ribosomal RNA", at positions 199 to 1303 of the family's 1533-position model. Lineage: Bacteria; Bacillati; Bacillota; Bacilli; Caryophanales; Bacillaceae. The record is from RNAcentral.